RNAcentral lists this long non-coding RNA (267 nucleotides) under Ananas comosus (pineapple). Its description in RNAcentral is "long non-coding RNA (ACOM_LNC028249)". Lineage: Eukaryota; Viridiplantae; Streptophyta; Magnoliopsida; Poales; Bromeliaceae. The record is from RNAcentral.
CUACCAAAUUGUUUUCAAUGAUGCGGCUUCCAAAUCGACGAUCGGCUCCAUUAGACUUGAUCUAUAAUAUUUAAAGUAUUUGGAAAUUAAAUUUCAUUAUUUUUCGGCAUCAUUUACCCAUCAAACGAGUAGUCUAAAAAUGAACGGCUGAAAAUAAAAAUCUCAUAAAAAAUAACGAUAAAAGACUUGAAUUUAAGAUCAGAGGUACUGAUCCUUCUCUAAAUAGUAAAAAAAAUUUUCUAUAAAAAUUUCAUUAGAUUUGAAUUG